CAGUGCAGGCUGGUUACUGAUUGAGUGAGCACAGAAAUGCUGCUUGUGAGAUAGUAGUCCUUUGCUGCUGUUUUAAGUUUCAGCUGUCAAUCAUCUUCAACUCACACUUGUGAUGUGUCUACACUGGAUAUUAUCAACUUGGUAGUAUUUUCUGGAGAGCUUUGAGGACAGGAUAGUUUGCUGCUGGGGUUAUGGACUUAUUGUGUUGCUCAUCACAUAAGACACGUGGAGCUAUUCCAGUCACCUGCUGUCUAUCUUACCUACUGCUGUAGCUAUCUGGCAGCCACAAGGCAGCUUGAAUGAUUCAGAGCAGCCUCCAGCAGAGUGUGACGUGGGGCAUUUGUCUGUUGUCCCUAUGUGCUAGACUUAUGUGACUAGCGCUUCAGUUCUGGGUCAAAUCCUUGGCCAUGUUCAUGGACCAUCAAGAGACACAGAAAUAAGAGAUUAUUUUGGAGAUGACAGCAUCCUACCUAUCAGUAAUGGACUGCCUCCCCGGAAUGUAUUUAUGUUCUAAUGAAACAAACUCAAAAUAGUAACUACAAAAUUAUGAAGUUGUUUUUUCAUCAUUUCAAUCUGUGUAAUUUUGUUUUCAGAUAGGCACUCCCUGCUUAUUUGGGGUUUUUCUGUUCCGCUUGAGAUAAUCAUCCUAUAAUAUCUAAUUCAAUGCAAUGAUCAAUUCAGUCGCAGAUUAGUGUAGCAUUCAGCAGUAAAAAGAAAUAUCCCCCAAACUGCACAUACCCGAAGCAGUUUUUAAUUCUAAUACAAAUUAGACUGAAUGUUUUACAAAUUUGCAUUACUUGUUUGCAGUCUCAUGGUCAAUCCAAGAUAAUGAGAUCUAAACACCAGGAUUUAAACCCCAGCACAAAUAACAUGAUGUUUUUAAAUGCUGUAAGGCUGGCUUACUUGAACAUAUGCAGUUCUUUCAAAUUUUACAACUUCAAUCCCUGAUAAAUGGGAAUUAAAAAUAUGAAUAGGGCUCUUCAUAAUAGAAAGCAUGCUUCAUUUAUUGUACUGAGUUAAGUCUUUUGGAAGCGAUUACUUUCUCACUGGAACACUGUGCUCAGCACUCUUAUGGCCCAGGCAUCUGUCACUCAAACAGAUGUCACCCCAUCAACUUGAAAAUAGAACUCUCUUUUUCCAUUUUGUGUGCCUAAGUGAAGUUUUCAGGUUGAAGUUUUUGGUGACAUUUGUUUAAGUGACAGAUGUUCAUGUCUAAUAGCCCUCAGUGGGGAAAUGACCUUGUUUUCUUUGUGAGAGUUCUGCAUCAAAUACUGUAAUUAUAUGUAUGUGGAAAAUAUAUGCCUUUAUGAAGCAAUAAAUCUGUAAGGAAGUUUUUACA
Numida meleagris (helmeted guineafowl) is the source of this 1339-nucleotide long non-coding RNA. RefSeq lists it as uncharacterized. The transcript is spliced from 5 exons. The record is from RefSeq and is a predicted model, not a curated record. NCBI's taxonomy places the organism in Eukaryota, Metazoa, Chordata, Aves, Galliformes, Numididae.